This is a non-coding RNA of Chiloscyllium plagiosum (whitespotted bambooshark), 353 nucleotides long. Lineage: Eukaryota; Metazoa; Chordata; Chondrichthyes; Orectolobiformes; Hemiscylliidae. The record is from RefSeq and is a predicted model, not a curated record.
CAAUCACUGACGGAACCUGCUGUGGAAAUUUACAGGGGCUGUUGGAGUGGUGAUCGGUCAAGAAACUCUUCAGGUCCAUGUCGAAUAAGUAUUGGAAAGAACGGCUGCACCCAAAGAAGCAGGUCCAGAACGACCCACAGCAGUAUCUGGUCUGACUUCCACCAGUUCCAAGAAUGUCUUCACUUGUACCCGCAGAGUCAGAGCCAAUCCCCCAGUAAACAUCACAUGGACCCUCAAUGGGAGGAAAAUCACAGGAAACGACUCAGACACUGUAGUAUAUUGCAGGAGAGUGAAUAAUAGAUUGCUUCAGAGCUCUCUGACACUUAUUCACCUCACUGGAACUGAAAAGCUAA